RNAcentral lists this ribosomal RNA (253 nucleotides) under uncultured bacterium. RNAcentral describes it as "partial 16S ribosomal RNA". It matches the Rfam family "Bacterial small subunit ribosomal RNA", at positions 524 to 776 of the family's 1533-position model. The record is from RNAcentral.
UACGUAGGGGGCAAGCGUUGUUCGGAAUUACUGGGCGUAAAGGGCGCGUAGGCGGUACGACAAGUCGGGAGUGAAAGCCCGGGGCUCAACCCCGGGACUGCUUUCGAAACUGUCGAACUCGAGUGCAGAAGAGGCAACUGGAAUUCCCAGUGUAGCGGUGAAAUGCGUAGAUAUUGGGAAGAACACCUGAGGCGAAGGCGGGUUGCUGGGCUGACACUGACGCUGAGGCGCGAAAGCCAGGGGAGCGAACGGG